UACGUAGGGGGCAAGCGUUGUCCGGAAUCAUUGGGCGUAAAGAGCGUGUAGGCGGCUCGGUAAGUCCGCUGUGAAAGUCCAGGGCUCAACCCUGGAAUGCCGGUGGAAACUGUCGAGCUAGAGUCCGGAAGAGGCGAGUGGAAUUCCUGGUGUAGCGGUGAAAUGCGCAGAUAUCAGGAGGAACACCGAUGGCGAAGGCAGCUCGCUGGGACGGUACUGACGCUGAGGAGCGAAAGCAUGGGGAGCGAACAGG
RNAcentral lists this ribosomal RNA (253 nucleotides) under uncultured bacterium. RNAcentral describes it as "partial 16S ribosomal RNA". It matches the Rfam family "Bacterial small subunit ribosomal RNA", at positions 524 to 776 of the family's 1533-position model. The record is from RNAcentral.